Molecule: ribosomal RNA, 253 nt
Filed under: uncultured bacterium
Lineage: Bacteria
Description: partial 16S ribosomal RNA
Rfam family: Bacterial small subunit ribosomal RNA
Source: RNAcentral
CACGUAGGGCGCAAGCGUUGUCCGGAUUUAUUGGGCGUAAAGAGCUCGUAGGCGGCCUGUCGCGUCGACCGUGAAAACCCGCAGCUCAACUGCGGGCUUGCGGUCGAUACGGGCAGGCUGGAGUUCGGUAGGGGAGACUGGAAUUCCUGGUGUAGCGGUGAAAUGCGCAGAUAUCAGGAGGAACACCGGUGGCGAAGGCGGGUCUCUGGGCCGAUACUGACGCUGAGGAGCGAAAGCGUGGGGAGCGAACAGG